GUAGCUUAGCUACCAAUGGGACCUGGUGGACCUCCACCUCCUCCAGGACCUCCCGGACCUCCCGGACCGCCAGGUUUCGGCGGCCCUCCUGGUCCGCCUCCUCUCUGCUGUGGCCUUUGUGAUUGUAUUGGUUCAUGGUACGUAUAUAUGUAUGUAAAUCUACAUCUUUUGAUUUGUUUUUGUUACCAAUUUGUAAAUUUUGUGAUAUUAUUUUUGUACGUAAAUCUACAUCUUAACUCGUUUCUCUCCCUCUCACUCAAGCCAUGCGCAUGCCAUAUACGAAAAUGUGAAAUAAAAUGUUCUAAAAUGUUGAAGAAAUGACCAUUUUGUUUAUGGGAGUUUUGCAGUUUGAGUUUUCUGUGCUGCUGCUGGUUAUUGCAAGACUGCUUUGGUGGGCCACCAGGGCCUCCUGGACCGCCGCCACCUCCAUGAGAUCAUCAAGCAGGCUUGAGUUUCCAGAAAUCAGUUGUAUCGCAUAUAUUUGUAGCAAUUUAUGUACAAUAAAUUUGGAUUAGAAAGAGACUUGUAAUUACGAGUCCUGUUGUGCUAAACUCCAUAGUCCAUAUAAGUUGUGAUCAUUCAUUGUUCGGUUUAAUUUAAUGUUGGAGGAUUAAAUGACCACGUACCAUUUGAUUGAGAUCGAAUGGUAAGUGACCACCAUUUCUUUGGAUCCUCGGGUCUAGAAUAAGUCUGUAAUUCCAGUCAUCACUGAAUUAUAAUUAUCUAUUUAUUUUUGUUUCAUUUUAGCAAGAAAUCAAAUCGAAUAUAAAAUUUAAACUAUCGAAUCAAAAUACUCGAUCCAUCUAAACAGUUGUGAGUUAUAUUUUCGUGUCAUUUUCACAGUGCUGUAAAGGUCUUUCAAUUCAAGAAAAACGUUUUGGUAUAAAUGGGGUAAAAGCCAGAGAAAUUAAUCUCAAUUCUUCUCUACUCUUCUAAAUCUUAUUUUAUUUCUUUCUCCUUGUUUGCGAGUCAUUACUGUCAUUUGGUACCGACAUAUGUUGUUUGUGUAACAUUACACCGUUAUACGUAAAACAGUGUCCUGCCAACGACUCUUUAUAAAAAGUGGCAUGCGGCGUUAGUUUGGGCCACCAAUACAUAUGAGUCUUAUCUUUGUUAGAAAUGUGAUACGUAUGAAAAUUGUGAUAAAAGUAGCUUUUUGAAAAUCCUAAACAUGCACUGCGCACGCUGGUGGUCCUUCACCAUUGUGAUAAAGUUACACUAAUUCAUAUCCCUCGUCCAAACUUUUACUAUGCUUUCGUGUAUGGUAUACAACAAAUGAAUAAAGCGUUUGAUGGGAUGGGACCAAUGAUACAAUAAUUAAUUCAAGAGUUAACAACCAAAAUUUUAUGUAUAAUAUUAUACACCAGUGCAUACUGAAAAAUCUCAGUUGUUCAAUCUCAACAAGAAAAUGCAAAAGUUUGAAUGGAAAUCAUAUCAUGAAUUGAUAUAUAUAUAUAUAUAUAUAUAUAUUCAAGAGUUAACAACCAAAAUUCUAUGUAUAAUAUUAUAUACCAGUGCAUACUGAAAAAUCUCAGUUGUUCAAUCUCAACAAAAAAAUGCAAAAGUUUGAAUGGAAAUCAUAUCAUGAAUUGAUAUAUAUAUAUAUAUGUAUAUAUAUAUAUGGAAUUGCUUAAGGGGAGGGAUCCCCAUUUUUUCAAAAAAAUGGGGACACGCUCCCCACCGUUGGAUUUGAAUUAAAUGAAAUCCUGUGGUUGAGAUUCUAUGGCCUGUGUUUUAAUCUCAACCACACAAUUUCAUUAAAGUCAAUCUAACGGUGGAGAGCGUGUCCCCAUUUUUUUUGAAAAAAUGGGGAUCCCUCCCCUUAAGCUCCCUGAUAUAUAUAUAUAUAUAUAUAUAUAUAUAUAUAUAUAUAUAUAUAUAUUUACAAACGUACACUUUUAAUUGUAUAUACUAUACUAUACACUAGACCUGGCAUUCGUGUCGUAUUUUUCGUGUUUGUGUCGUUCUCGUGUCAUACCCGAUAUCUUAACGGGUCGUGUCGUGUAACACCUGUUAAAAUAAACGGAUAAAAUGACCCGACCCGAAUUGACCCGAUAAUAUUAACAAGUAAUAUGACCCGACAUGUUACCCGUUAAGGAAAAUAUAUUUUAAACCAAUAAAUAAUCAAAUGAAAAACAUAAUACUAAAUAAGUAUAUACAUACCAUAUUGUCACAUCCAAAAAAUAAAAACGUAUUUGAGUAAAGUCUUUAAUAGUUUUUAAAUUAAUGUAGAAUUGUAAAAAAUAUAUAUAUAAACACUCGUAAUGACAAGCUUUAUAACUUUCACGACGAGCUUAACUUCGAAAUUCGCCACUAUAAUCAUAUAAAUCAUACAUCAAAAUUUAACCGUUGAUUGUUGUUUACAUUUACGCUUCAUUGUUCUCAUCAAAUUUUUUUUUUCUUUUCAGAUUUUAUUUUUUGAAAACAUGAUCUAUUAGAGGAUGCAGGAAGAUGAAUGGUUUGGAUCAUUGAUAUUAUAUUCAAAGUUUUACGGUUAGUGAAAAUAUUGCUUGAUGUUUAUAAAGUUUCUACAAACUAUACGACAUCGACUCACAUUUCAGUUAAUCAUAAAUAUCGAAAUUUGAUAUCAAGGAUCUGAACCGUUCAUCUUCUUACAUCCGCCAGAUGAUGAUGUUUUCAAAAAAGAAAAUUUUUAAAAUGAAAUUUAGUAAGAAGACUAAAACGUAAAUGACAAUCGACGUUUAAAUAUAAAAUUAAGGUUUAUGGAUUAUAGUGUUGGAUUUCGAAGCUGACCCCUUCAUGAAAGUUGUAAGGCUUAUCACUAUGAGUGAUUGUAUUUUUUUUUUUUUUUACAAUUAUUACAGUUCUACAAUAAUUAAUUUUGCCCUCAAAUAAAAAAUAUUAUUCAUGAGGGUUUGGAGGAUUUUAAAAAUCUAAACGAUAAUGUAAGUGUAACCAUUAUCUACUCGUAAAGGAAUACUAAUGAAUGACGAGUGUUUAUAUAUUCUUUCAUAUUUUUCAUACUUGUAUGUAUGUCUUCUUAGUUCUUGCCUAUACAAUACUAUACUAGUUUAUUUUAAUUUUGGACAACAAUAUGUUAAGUAAAAUUUAUCCUAUUAAUGAUAAUAAGAAACUCUCAUAAUAAAAAUAAAUAAUGAUUAAAACUUUUUUUUUAACUUAUAUAGAAUAAUAAUACAAAAUUAUAUAUUUAAUAUAUAAUAUAUUGUAUACAUUAAUAUGGCUAUUGUAUUUUUGUUUGGACCUAAUUUUACAAUAUCGGCCCGGGCAAUCAAGACCGUUAAAUAAGUGGUUUCUAAACCGUUGGAUUUCAUAUUUUUCUAGAUAUUACUAUUGAAUUUUCGAAGUAAUUAUCUUAUGAAAUUGUUUGGACCUAAAUUUACAUCAUCGGCUCGUGCGAUCGAGGCCGUUGAAUGAGCAUAACUCCCAAUCAUCGGAUGAAAAAUGAAGAUAAUUUUGUUAUUAUUGAAAGAAGAUGCAAAGCAUAUUUCCGAGCGAGCAGUACAAUUCAAAUGGACUUAGGACUCAUAUUAUCAGAUUAAGCAGCAUGGUGCAUUAGGAUGAGGUUUGAAUAGUCAGGAUGCAUGGUUUUAGGAUAAAGUUGAAGUCAAGAUAAUGAUGCAAAUUGGAGCAGAUAAUGGUGCAUGGGAAUUUGGAUGACAGUGAUCCACGGCAUUUAAAUAUUAUAACCAAUCUGUGGGUUAGAUUGGUGUUCUGCAAAGAUGAAAGGAGCACGGCAUUGACCCAAGGCAUCUUGACUUUGAGGGAUAUUAUCAAGAAGGUUCUUUAUUACAAUAUCCUAACGCUGAGAGUUAGAAUGAAACUGGAAUACUGGCUGAGCAUUACAAAAUCUAUAGAGGCAGCGGCAACGAUCAGAGAGGACCUUCAACUCAACACACAAACUGUCUUGCGCAAACCCUCUCAACAAUCUUGAGAUUUUUAUUUUUCCUUUUUCGCCAACACAUCUUCAGUUUGGAUAAACAGUACUAUGAAGGCAACCAGCGAACAUCUUCAGUUUGGAUAAACAGCAUUGUUGCCGUAGAAUCAGCCAACCGUGAGGCACCUUCAGUUUGGAUAAAUAGCACUGCAACAGGUCCGAUUGGUUAUCUAUCCAAGUUUCAGUCGAGAAGGAUUCUCAAAUCCUCAUUGGCAGAUGUCAUCUCAUUAGCCUACUCGGCAAAGUGAGGUGUUACAAGUUACUACAUUCGGCACAUUGAAAGCUGAAUUUGAUAUUGAACUUAGCAGAAUUAGCAACCUUGUCUUCAGGUUCUAGAACCUGAAGGCUGAGACGUAUACCUUCCUCGGCCGCAGUCGCAAGAUUCAGAAGUUAGCAACGCACCCAACGCAACAUCAACAUAUUUUACUCCUCAGCCGAGCUAGGUCGACGAAUUGGCACGCCCGCAUACAACCAAAGGACGUAGUUAGCUUACUAAUUACUCGGUCUGCGUGCUACUAGGCUUAAUAGUUUUUAGGGUCAACAAUUUUAUAAUAAACCUUUUAGUAAUUAAACUUUAAAAUUAUCAAAAUAAUUUUUUUCUUAAUGGGUCGAAACGGGUUACCCACGUGUAUACAUGUUAAGAACCUGUUAUUAAAGGGUUCAUAACGGGUCACCCGAUAAUGACCCGAUUAGUUAUCGUGUUGAUCCGAAACUUGUUAUUUUCGUGUCGUGUUAGAAACUGCCGGAUCUACUAUACACUGGUAAAUACCAAAAAAAAUCCGAUCUCAAUAGGAAAAUACAAAAGUAUGAAUGGAAAUCGUGUCAUUUGAUACAUGAACCUGCAGUUUUAGUUGUGAAUGGUAGGUGGGAAGAAUGGCAGGAGAAAAAUGUUGGAUGAAAAAAGAAAAAGUUUAAAACUGGACUGGAGGAUAUGGUCAAACACAAUAUAUACAGUAGUUGCUUCUCGUAUAGUCUAGUUAAUUCUAUCUUCCUAUAAACCCUAGCUAUCAUCAACCUUAAGAACUUGUACAAGUUGUUCCCUGCACUGCACUGCCAUGCAUAAAACCUUAUUCUCUGCAGGCUUCGUUUUGUUGAAGAAGGUGGUCGUACGUAUAGGCCUAGUGAGUACGUAGCUUAGCUACCAAUGAGACCUGGUGGAGGUCCCGGAGGACCUCCUGGACCGCCUCCCGGACCGCCUGGUUUCGGAGGACCUCCCGGACCGCCUGGUUUCGGAGGACCUCCCGGACCGCCUGGUCCGCAUCCUCUCUUCGGUGGCUUUUGUGAUUUCAUUGGUGCAUGGUACGUAUAUAUGUAUGUAAAUCUACAUCUUAACUCGUCUCAUUCCCUCUCUCUAAAUGACCAUUUUGUUUAUGGGAGUUUUGCAGUGUGAGUUUUCUGUGUUGCUGCUGGUUAUUGCAAGACUGCUUUGGUGGGCCACCACUAGGGCCUCCAGCACCCUUUGGGCCACCUGCACCAGGGCCUCCCGCACCCUUUGGCCCACCUGCACCAGGGCCUCCUGCUCCCUUUGGCCCACCUGGCCCCCCCGGUCCAGCUGGCCCGCCUGGACCACCACCUCCAUGAGAUCAUCAAGCAGGCUUGAGUUUCCAGAAAUCUGUUGUGUUGCAUACGCAGCAUAUACAGUAGUAGCAGGAACGUGUACAAUAUCUUUGAAUUAGAAAUAGAGUUGUAAUUCCGACUAAAUUCCGAGUCCAAAUAAUUGAUGAUCAUUUA
This 5647-nucleotide long non-coding RNA is filed under the name Malus domestica (apple). Its description in RNAcentral is "long non-coding RNA (MDOM_LNC004140)". The record is from RNAcentral. Lineage: Eukaryota; Viridiplantae; Streptophyta; Magnoliopsida; Rosales; Rosaceae.